RNAcentral lists this long non-coding RNA (1098 nucleotides) under Parus major (Great Tit). Its description in RNAcentral is "lncRNA (ENSPMJG00000009839.1)". Lineage: Eukaryota; Metazoa; Chordata; Aves; Passeriformes; Paridae. The record is from RNAcentral.
AUGGGAAUUUGGGGCGGGGAACCGGGAUCUGGGGCUGGAUCCAGGGAUUUGGGGCUGGAUUUUCGGGAUUUGGGGCUGGAAAACCGGGAGUGGCUGGGGCGCGGGGCAGGGAAAAGCUCCGGAUCCAUGGAUUUGGGGGCGGAUCCGCGGCCGCAGGGGGUGGGUCCCCGGCUGGAUCCCGGGAUUUUUUCGGGAAUCGGGGGCAGGAAAAUCGGGAAUGCGCUGACCUGGGCAGGCCGCGGCCGCCGCUCGGUGUCCGCAUGGGCCGCGGGGCCGGGAAUUCCCGAUCCCGGCGGGAAGCUCGGGAUCCCGGGAUCCUCCCGGGGCUCUCCCGGCUCCGGGGCUGAUCCCGAAAUUCCCAAAUCCCGGCGGGAAGCGCCGGGCCCGGCCCGGAGCCGCUUCCAGCGGAGCGAGGGAUGCCGGGAUUUGGGAAUCAUCGGCCGCUCCCUCCUCCCCUUCCUCCUCCUCCUCCUCCUCCUUUUCCUUUUCCUCCGUUUCCUUUUCCUCCUUUUCCUUUUUCCCCUUUUCCUCCUUUUCCUUUUUCCCCUUUUCCUCUUUUUCCUUCUUUUCCUUCUUUUCCCCCUUUUCCUUUUCCUCCUUUUCCCCCUUUUCCUCCUCCUCCUUUUUAUUUCUCCCGCUCUUCCUCCCCCUCCUCUUCCCUCCAUUCCCACUCCCAGGAAUUCGGGAUUUCUCCCGGAAUUCCCGCGCAAAGCGGAUUUUUCCUGGAAAUUCCCGGCGAAAUUCCUUCUAAAUAAAUCUCCCCCCAAACCUCGGGAUUUGAAGCGCCCCGAGCGGGGAUUCCUGAUUUUUUUUUUUUCCCCCCCAAAAAAUCCCUUUCAUUCGGCCCCAAAAUUCCCAUUCUUUUCCCAAAAUUCCCAUUUAAUCGGCCCCAAAAUUCCCUUUCGUUGCGCCCUAAAAUUCCAUUUAUUUGCCAAAAAUAAAACCCCCUUCCUCUUCCCGCAGUUUUCCCUUUCUUUGGAACCCUCCCGUCCCAGUUUUUGGCAGGGAAAACCUUUCCCGGAUUAUUUCUGGGAAGCGGCAAAAGCGGCUGCUGGAAUUAGAGGGAAUUUUCCCGGGUUGUUUUGGGAAUUAAAGUGA